RNAcentral lists this ribosomal RNA (468 nucleotides) under uncultured bacterium. RNAcentral describes it as "partial 16S ribosomal RNA". It matches the Rfam family "Bacterial small subunit ribosomal RNA", at positions 28 to 507 of the family's 1533-position model. The record is from RNAcentral.
GACGAACGCUGGCGGCGUGCUUAACACAUGCAAGUCGAACGGAAAGGCCCUGCUUUUGUGGGGUGCUCGAGUGGCGAACGGGGGAGUAACACGUGAGUAACCUGCCCUUGACUUUGGGAUAACUUCAGGAAACUGGGGCUAAUACCGGAUAGGAGCUCCUGCUGCAUGGUGGGGGUGGGAAAGUUUCGGCGGUUGGGGAUGGACUCGCGGCUUAUCAGCUUGUUGGUGGGGUAGUGGCUUACCAAGGCUUUGACGGGUAGCCGGCCUGCGAGGGUGACCGGCCACAUUGGGACUGAGCUACGGCCCAGACUCCUACGGGAGGCAGCAGUGGGGAAUAUUGCACAAUGGGCGGAAGCCUGAUGCAGCAACGCCGCGUGCGGGAUGACGGCCUUCGGGUUGUAAACCGCUUUCGCCUGUGACGAAGCGUGAGUGACGGUAAUGGGUAAAGAAGCACCGGCUAACUACGUG